RNAcentral lists this ribosomal RNA (1158 nucleotides) under Leifsonia aquatica. Its description in RNAcentral is "bacterial SSU rRNA". It matches the Rfam family "Bacterial small subunit ribosomal RNA", at positions 337 to 1504 of the family's 1533-position model. Lineage: Bacteria; Bacillati; Actinomycetota; Actinomycetes; Micrococcales; Microbacteriaceae. The record is from RNAcentral.
UCNUACGGGAGGCAGCAGUGGGGAAUAUUGCACAAUGGGCGCAAGCCUGAUGCAGCAACGCCGCGUGAGGGAUGACGGCCUUCGGGUUGUAAACCUCUUUUAGUAGGGAAGAAGCGAAAGUGACGGUACCUGCAGAAAAAGCACCGGCUAACUACGUGCCAGCAGCCGCGGUAAUACGUAGGGUGCGAGCGUUGUCCGGAAUUAUUGGGCGUAAAGAGCUCGUAGGCGGUCUGUCGCGUCUGCUGUGAAAACCCGAGGCUCAACCUCGGGCCUGCAGUGGGUACGGGCAGACUAGAGUGCGGUAGGGGAGAAUGGAAUUCCUGGUGUAGCGGUGGAAUGCGCAGAUAUCAGGAGGAACACCGAUGGCGAAGGCAGUUCUCUGGGCCGUAACUGACGCUGAGGAGCGAAAGCGUGGGGAGCGAACAGGAUUAGAUACCCUGGUAGUCCACGCCGUAAACGUUGGGCGCUAGAUGUGGGGACCAUUCCACGGUUUCCGUGUCCCAGCUAACGCAUUAAGCGCCCCGCCUGGGGAGUACGGCCGCAAGGCUAAAACUCAAANGAAUUGACGGGGGCCCGCACAAGCGGCGGAGCAUGCGGAUUAAUUCGAUGCAACGCGAAGAACCUUACCAAGGCUUGACAUAUACGAGAACGGGCUAGAAAUAGUCAACUCUUUGGACACUCGUAAACAGGUGGUGCAUGGUUGUCGUCAGCUCGUGUCGUGAGAUGUUGGGUUAAGUCCCGCAACGAGCGCAACCCUCGUUCUAUGUUGCCAGCACGUAAUGGUGGGAACUCAUAGGAGACUGCCGGGGUCAACUCGGAGGAAGGUGGGGAUGACGUCAAAUCAUCAUGCCCCUUAUGUCUUGGGCUUCACGCAUGCUACAAUGGCCGGUACAAAGGGCUGCAAUACCGCAAGGUGGAGCGAAUCCCAAAAAGCCGGUCUCAGUUCGGAUUGAGGUCUGCAACUCGACCUCAUGAAGUCGGAGUCGCUAGUAAUCGCAGAUCAGCAACGCUGCGGUGAAUACGUUCCCGGGCCUUGUACACACCGCCCGUCAAGUCAUGAAAGUCGGUAACACCCGAAGCCGGUGGCCUAACCCUUGUGGAAGGAGCCGUCGAAGGUGGGAUCGGUGAUUANGACUAANUCGUAACAAGGUAACCGUC